This 72-nucleotide transfer RNA is filed under the name Nocardioidaceae bacterium. RNAcentral's name for it is "tRNA-Arg". It matches the Rfam family "tRNA". From Rfam's summary of the family: Transfer RNA (tRNA) molecules are approximately 80 nucleotides in length. Lineage: Bacteria; Bacillati; Actinomycetota; Actinomycetes; Propionibacteriales; Nocardioidaceae. The record is from RNAcentral.
ACCCCUUUGGCCCAACGGAGACGGCACCGGUCUACGAAACCGGGGAUCCAGGUUCGAGUCCUGGAGGGGGUG